UACAAUGGAUAAGACUUUGUUCUUAGUAUAAGUGUAGGCGAUUUUUUGAUUGGAAAGUAAAGGAGCAAUAACCAACACUCUUGAUAGAAUAAGAAAUUGGUUAUUGUUCCUUUACUUAUUGCUCUUUUAUUUACAUAAGUUUUUUUUUACUUCAGCAUAARAAAAAGUAUUCUAGUCUUAGGGAUUGGUUUCUGAUUCCGUAUCAUACUUUUUUUCCUUARAUGUGCAUUUUUUUAUAAUUUAUAUACAUUCUUUUCAACCCUUUGUAAGGCUUUGUGAAAUUAUUAUCUUCUAGUUUUUUU
Molecule: unclassified non-coding RNA, 302 nt
Filed under: Gaudium semibaccatum
Lineage: Eukaryota; Viridiplantae; Streptophyta; Magnoliopsida; Myrtales; Myrtaceae
Description: partial miscellaneous RNA
Source: RNAcentral